GCCACUGCACUGGCUCUUCUGUGUUGGUUUCCAGAUCAUGGCGUCACAAAAGGUCAGCCCUGGAUGCGAUGCUGGAGGGCACAGGGGUCAACGCCCUCGACUCCUCCAAGAGCCGAACUGUGACGAGAAAGGUGUCUUCCAACCUCCAACCUCAGCAAACGUUGAGAACAUUCGAAACGAAAAGACACGGAAUGCUUCCCUUUGAGGACACGGAAGUUGUCUGUACCGUCAAGAAGCAUGAAGCCAACGAUCGCAGCCUCUGAGGCCCCUGAAUCCCCGACCAGGUCACACCAGACCUCAGGAGCCCCCGAGCGGCAGCAGCUGCGGGACUCGGCCGCUGUGACUGGCGACCGCCUGCUCCACAGGCUCACACCUUUGCAAAACCGUCUGGAUUGGCACCCUGGAUUUUCAUGGAACCUCACUGUGCAUUAAAGAAUAAAAACUCCUGAGACACAGACAUUCAGUAAAUGCGGCAGACACCCAGGACCCACGCAUGGACUCCUCUCCCCAUGAGUGGGCCAGACUCACUGCUGAUGAGUCAAGUAUCCCAGGAAAAACCACAGCUUCCACCUCAGACAGUCUCUCACUGCUCGCUCUGAGGAAAGCCAGAUGCCAUGUGAGGUGCCUAAGACGUGGUCCAAGUGCUCAGGAACGGAGGGCUGUCUCCAGCCGACAGCAGCCAGCGACCCAGUGGGACACCCAGUGGGACAACUCGCAAGGAACUGACUCCUGCCAACAACCAUGUGAAUAAGCCUGGAGGUCGAUCUUGCCCUAGUGAAGCCUUCAUAUGGACUGCCGACAGCUUGAAUACAACCUCCUCAGAAACCCUGAGCCAGAGGCACCCAUAGCCCAACCCUCAGAAACUGAGAAUAAAUGUACGCAUUUUUAAGCCAAGGAAUCUCUAGGUAACUUGUUAUGCAGUAGUAGUUAUCUAACAGAGCACGCAACUUUAUUCUAUUCAGUGCAGUUCAGUCGCUCAGUCAUGUCCGACUCUUUGCGACCCCAUGGACUGCAGCACGCCAGGCCUCCCUGUCCAUCACCAACUCCUUAUUAAUAGUUGUAUUAAGUUGCAUUUACUUUCAUUUAGCAUACUGUGUUUAUUCAUCAUACAAAAAUGUUAAUAAGUUAGUGAUUUAAUAUAAACCAGCAAUAAAGGAAACUACCUUUAAAUGAACCAAACCACGGACUUUUUUCAUCAGCAAGGACUAUUUCUUCCCUUUACAACAGGAGACAGUUGUACUCAAAAAAUAUUCAAUGGCUCCAAAAAAACUUCUCCGAGGAAGCAAAAUUCUCUGGCCAUUUACACCCUUGUUUCAUUUUUUUUACAAGGAAAUCAAGGAGGUCUUCCAUUGUGACUGGUAGCUGAAAAAGGCUACUUGGAAUGGGAACAUUGAAACCAAGGGCUAAAAUUUAAUAGUAAAGGAUGGGAGGUUGAUAAACUCAAUGCAGGAGAAAAAUGAUGAAAACAGCUUUGUAUAACAUUUAAUAAAAUUUGGAUUAUUGCUACAACUGUGCUAAUUAUUAAACAGAAACAAUCUGAAUGGUGACUACUGGUUGGGGGUGGCAGGGAGGGAAAUCAACUUUUCACACAAAAUUGUAAAAUGGACAAAAGAUCUCUUCGAGAUCUCGACCCUUGACUUUGGCGAUACAAUCAUAAGGAUCAUCUCUGCAAAACUACUUAAAGCUUUCAAUAAUGCUUCCAAGACUCUCCGUUGCCUUUAAUGUUUUCAUUAAACAAUUUCAUUAAACAAUUAAAACAAUUUCAAGCAAUUGCUUUCUUUAACAGCCUUGCAAUUCAUUAAUUCAUUCACCAAACACUUUUGAAUGAGUGGGGUUACCGGUAUGUGUGUGCGUAGUCGCUCAGUCGUGUCCAACUCUUGCAACCCCACAGACCGGAGCCCGCCAGGCUCCUCUGUCCAUGGGGAUUUCCCAGGCAAGAAUACUGGAGUGGGUUGCCAUUGCCUUCUCCAGGUUACUCGUGUGGUGCUACGGAAGAGCAGUGACGGCGACAAACUGGAAGUCCUCGUAUUUAGAGAGCUCGUGUUUUGACAGAAGAAAGUAACUGGUUUACACUACGUCACCUGUAAUUUACAAUAACAACAACUGGGAAAAAAUGACAAUGAUCCCCAAAAACAAAACAGUCUAGAUGGCAGUAGUACCAGUACCAAACAGUAAGUGGAAAAGGACAUUUGAGCUAAGUUUUAUAUGUGGUUGAUCCUCCAGUGAUGAUCUGGACUUUGAGUGGCCUACGCCCCUCUAUUCAACUCCCUUCACUGUACCUAAGAAUGUUAAUCAUAAAAAGCCAUGGUUUCAUGAUUUCGAGGCCAGAGGAUCUAAGCACAAAUGCAGCUGAUCACAAACAACAAUCCUCUAGCGACUGCAACACUAGAGGCGCAGACUGAAAUGGAGACUUGUCUUCCAGACAGUGCACUGCACGCCGUACUGCGGGUCAGGACACACCUUUCCACGUCUUUCACCAUUUCACGAGAACUCCUCCUCGACUGUCGUCCUAUAGAUGGACGUGAAAUCCUGUCCACAAGCCUCAUGGGGACAACUGACGCCCGCACCCUGACAAGCCCGGCUUGACACCCGCAGGCGAGUCUGACCUCCACCUGGAAGGGACUCUACCCUUCCACACAGCCCGAGAAAGA
Non-coding RNA from Odocoileus virginianus texanus, 2651 nucleotides. The record is from RefSeq and is a predicted model, not a curated record. NCBI's taxonomy places the organism in Eukaryota, Metazoa, Chordata, Mammalia, Artiodactyla, Cervidae.